CUGGUACAGUGUACUUGCAUCAGUAUCCAGACCUGUUUAUACCCAGGGUACGGUUGCCCGGAAUGUAACACUGUCGUAGCAGAAGCACAGAAAACAGUUGUGAUAUUUCUUCUUGUCCCCGACAAUAUUUGGAUGUAUAUCAAAAGCAAGAUCUGUAAACGUAGAGGCGUAUACAACUUACAGGUCAUCACGUUACACAACGAAGUGUGGGUUUUGGAAGUGGGGCCGGUGCACAAGA
Molecule: long non-coding RNA, 238 nt
Organism: Haliotis rubra (blacklip abalone)
Lineage: Eukaryota; Metazoa; Mollusca; Gastropoda; Lepetellida; Haliotidae
Exons: 2
Source: RefSeq, a predicted model, not a curated record